UGGGGAAUUUUGGACAAUGGGCGAAAGCCUGAUCCAGCAAUGCCGCGUGUGUGAAGAAGGCCUUCGGGUUGUAAAGCACUUUUGUCCGGAAAGAAAUCCUUGGCUCUAAUACAGUCGGGGGAUGACGGUACCGGAAGAAUAAGCACCGGCUAACUACGUGCCAGCAGCCGCGGUAAUACGUAGGGUGCAAGCGUUAAUCGGAAUUACUGGGCGUAAAGCGUGCGCAGGCGGUUUGCUAAGACCGAUGUGAAAUCCCCGGGCUCAACCUGGGAACUGCAUUGGUGACUGGCAGGCUAGAGUAUGGCAGAGGGGGGUAGAAUUCCACGUGUAGCAGUGAAAUGCGUAGAGAUGUGGAGGAAUACCGAUGGCGAAGGCAGCCCCCUGGGCCAAUACUGACGCUCAUGCACGAAAGCGUGGGGAGCAAACAGGAUUAGAUACCCUGGUAGUCCACGCCCUAAAACGAUGUCAACUAGUUGUUGGGGAUUCAUUUUCCUUAGUAACGUAGCUAACGCGUGAAGUUGACCGCCUGGGGAGUACGGUCGCAAGAUUAAAACUCAAAUGAAUUGACGGGGUCAUAGCUGUUUCCU
Molecule: ribosomal RNA, 587 nt
Filed under: uncultured bacterium
Lineage: Bacteria
Description: partial 16S ribosomal RNA
Rfam family: Bacterial small subunit ribosomal RNA
Source: RNAcentral